Molecule: long non-coding RNA, 456 nt
Organism: Mauremys mutica (yellowpond turtle)
Lineage: Eukaryota; Metazoa; Chordata; Testudines; Geoemydidae
Exons: 3
Source: RefSeq, a predicted model, not a curated record
AAAAAAAAUAUCUGCAAUCACACUCUGGGGGUUAAAAGAGGCAGGAAGCCCUCCAGGGAGGCAGCAUGGAGUCUGAGGGAGUAAACCUUGGCUGCCAGCCGCAGAGUCCCUGGGCUGGAGUCCAGAGGAGAAGUAGCGGCUGGGUACUUCUAUCUUCCAGUGAGGAAGGGGAACUGCUGCUGCCCUAUAACAGAAGACUAGGAAAACUGCUGCAGGAGGCCUGGAUAAAGGACCCAAUUGUGUAAAGUCAGCUUGAAGUGAUUCAGCUGGUCCUGACCUGUGAUCAAAAAAGCUGACAUGAGAUUGACAAAAUCCUGCUGGAAGGAUCUGAAGGACGAGAACUUGUCAGGGUCUCCAUGUGGAAGAGGAGUGACACCUGGAAGUUACCAUGAAUGUAAACUGUUUAUUAUUUUACGAUGUUUUCUGUGUAAUGCUUUUGCCCUAAAAUAAAUGUAC